GGGGGAUAACACUUAGAAAUAGGUGCUAAUACCGCAUAAGCGCACGGUUCCGCAUGGAACAGUGUGAAAAACUCCGGUGGUAUACGAUGGAUCCGCGUCUGAUUAGCCAGUUGGCGGGGUAACGGCCCACCAAAGCGACGAUCAGUAGCCGGCCUGAGAGGGUGAACGGCCACAUUGGGACUGAGACACGGCCCAAACUCCUACGGGAGGCAGCAGUGGGGAAUAUUGCACAAUGGGGGAAACCCUGAUGCAGCGACGCCGCGUGAGUGAAGAAGUAUUUCGGUACGUAAAGCUCUAUCAGCAGGGAAGAAAAAAAGUCCUUUGGACUUUGGACGGUACCUGACCAAGAAGCCCCGGCUAACUACGUGCCAGCAGCCGCGGUAAUACGUAGGGGGCAAGCGUUAUCCGGAUUUACUGGGUGUAAAGGGAGCGUAGACGGCAGCGCAAGUCUGGAGUGAAAUGCCGGGGCCCAACCCCGGAACUGCUUUGGAAACUGUGCAGCUCGAGUGCAGGAGAGGUAAGCGGAAUUCCUAGUGUAGCGGUGAAAUGCGUAGAUAUUAGGAGGAACACCAGUGGCGAAGGCGGCUUACUGGACUGUAACUGACGUUGAGGCUCGAAAGCGUGGGGAGCAAACAGGAUUAGAUACCCUGGUAGUCCACGCCGUAAACGAUGAUUACUAGGUGUCGGGGGGCCAAGGCCCUUCGGUGCCGCCGCAAACG
RNAcentral lists this ribosomal RNA (719 nucleotides) under uncultured bacterium. Its description in RNAcentral is "bacterial SSU rRNA". It matches the Rfam family "Bacterial small subunit ribosomal RNA", at positions 138 to 857 of the family's 1533-position model. The record is from RNAcentral.